This 368-nucleotide ribosomal RNA is filed under the name uncultured organism. Its description in RNAcentral is "bacterial SSU rRNA". It matches the Rfam family "Bacterial small subunit ribosomal RNA", at positions 526 to 896 of the family's 1533-position model. The record is from RNAcentral.
CGGAGGAUCCAAGCGUUAUCCGGAUUCAUUGGGUUUAAAGGGUGCGUAGGCGGAAUGAUAAGUCAGCGGUGAAAUCUCGGAGCUUAACUCCGAAACUGCCAUUGAUACUGUCAAUCUUGAGUACAUUUGAUGAGGGCGGAAUGUGUCAUGUAGCGGUGAAAUGCUUAGAUAUGACACAGAACACCGAUUGCGAAGGCAGCUCUCAAAACUGUAACUGACGCUGAGGCACGAAAGCGUGGGUAUCAAACAGGAUUAGAUACCCUGGUAGUCCACGCUGUAAGCUAUGAUUACUCGAUGUUUGCGAUAUACUGUAAGCGUCUAAGCGAAAGCGAUAAGUAAUCCACCUGGGGAGUACGCUCGCAAGAGUG